RNAcentral lists this ribosomal RNA (274 nucleotides) under uncultured bacterium. RNAcentral describes it as "partial 16S ribosomal RNA". It matches the Rfam family "Bacterial small subunit ribosomal RNA", at positions 523 to 796 of the family's 1533-position model. The record is from RNAcentral.
AUACGGAGGGUGCAAGCGUUAUUCGGAAUCACUGGGCGUAAAGGACGCGUAGGCGGGUUGGCAAGUCAGAUGUGAAAUCCUACAGCUUAACUGUAGAACUGCAUUUGAAACUGCUAAACUAGAGUAUGGGAGGGGGAGAUGGAAUUAGUGGUGUAGGGGUAAAAUCCGUAGAUAUCACUAGGAAUACCGAAAGCGAAGGCGAUCUCCUGGAACAUAACUGACGCUAAGGCGUGAAAGCGUGGGUAGCAAACGGGAUUAGAAACCCUAGUAGUCC